AGAGCAGAGAAGCAACGAAAAUACCUCCCUCACGAUCGAAGACCUGCUACCUUCUUCCUCAACAAUCGACCACCACCCGCUACCUAGAACACCAGAUUUCAUAACCAUUUGAACCCCCUCACCUCCCUCUUCAACCUCUUGUCAUCACCUGGCCACGGAGUUGCCCAAAAUAGCCCCAAUCACCACCCAAAAUCGCGCUAUUAGUCACGAUUUUCGCCAUAUUUCCACCGUCGUCGGCCACCGUUUCGAGCGCGGACCACCACCACUCCACUCCUCCCAACCAGGCGCAUCCAGUACCAACAUAUGUCACCUGCAAUUUUGUCCAGAUUCGAGCGAGAUUGUGAAAGUAGUCUUGUGUGGCAGAUUCGGUCCCAACAAAAUUGAUGAAAUUUUGUUGAUGCAAAUAAUCAAUUUUGCUUUCCAAACAUCAAGGUUGGUUUUUUGAAUGGGUUGGGUUUAGUUUUUG
Molecule: long non-coding RNA, 466 nt
Filed under: Olea europaea subsp. europaea
Lineage: Eukaryota; Viridiplantae; Streptophyta; Magnoliopsida; Lamiales; Oleaceae
Source: RNAcentral